This 251-nucleotide ribosomal RNA is filed under the name uncultured bacterium. Its description in RNAcentral is "partial 16S ribosomal RNA". It matches the Rfam family "Bacterial small subunit ribosomal RNA", at positions 523 to 769 of the family's 1533-position model. The record is from RNAcentral.
AUACGAAGGGGGCUAGCGUUGUUCGGAAUUACUGGGCGUAAAGUUUUCGCAUGUAGGCGGACAUUUAAGUCAGGGGUGAAAUCCCGGGGCUCAACCUCGGAACUGCCUUUGAUACUGGGUGUCUAGAGUGUGGAAGAGGUAAGUGGAAUUCCGAGUGUAGAGGUGAAAUUCGUAGAUAUUCGGAGGAACACCAGUGGCGAAGGCGGCUUACUGGUCCAUUACUGACGCUGAGGUGCGAAAGCGUGGGGAGC